CACGUAGUUAGCCGGGCCUUCCUCCGUGGGUACCGUUAGUGCUUCGUCCCCACGAACAGCGGUUUACACGCCGAAACGCGUCAUCCCGCACGCGGCGUUGCUCCGUCAGGCUUUCGCCCAUUGCGGAAAAUUCCUUGCUGCUGCCUCCCGUAGGAGUCGGGGCCGUGUCUCAGUCCCCGUGUGGCUGAUCAUCCUCUCAGACCAGCUACCGAUCAUCGCCUUGGUGAGCCGUUACCCCACCAACUAGCUAAUCGGCCGCAGCCUCCUCCACCGGCGGGUUACCCCUUUCCUUACCCUUCCCACUCGAAGGACAAGCGCAUACGGAAUUACCCGGCGUUUCCGCCGGCUACCCCCUGCCAGUGGGCAGAUUGGCCACGUGUUCCUCACCCGUCCGCCACGUGAGCCUCCCGAAGGAGACCCCGUUCGACUUGCAUGCAUUAGGCACGCCGCCAGCGUUGAUCCUGAGCCAGGAUCAAACUCU
RNAcentral lists this ribosomal RNA (481 nucleotides) under uncultured Thermomicrobia bacterium. RNAcentral's name for it is "partial 16S ribosomal RNA". Lineage: Bacteria; Pseudomonadati; Thermomicrobiota; Thermomicrobia. The record is from RNAcentral.